UCCGUCACCUGACACGGCCCUACCAGGAACAGCCGCGCUCCCGCGG
Unclassified non-coding RNA from Colobus angolensis palliatus, 46 nucleotides. Lineage: Eukaryota; Metazoa; Chordata; Mammalia; Primates; Cercopithecidae. The record is from Ensembl.